GACGAACGCUGGCGGCGUGCUUAACACAUGCAAGCCGAACGAUGACGACCGAGCUUGCUCGGUCUGAUUAGUGGCGAACGGGUGAGUAACACGUGAGCAACCUGCCCUUCACUCUGGGAUAACCUCGGGAAAUCGGGGCUAAUACCGGAUAUGAGCUCCUGUCGCAUGGCGGGUGUUGGAAAGUUUUUCGGUGAAGGAUGGGCUCGCGGCCUAUCAGUUUGUUGGUGAGGUAGUGGCUCACCAAGGCGAUGACGGGUAGCCGGCCUGAGAGGGCGACCGGCCACACUGGGACUGAGACACGGCCCAGACUCCUACGGGAGGCAGCAGUGGGGAAUAUUGCACAAUGGGCGAAAGCCUGAUGCAGCGACGCCGCGUGAGGGAUGACGGCCUUCGGGUUGUAAACCUCUUUCAGCAGGGAAGAAGCGAAAGUGACGGUACCUGCAGAAGAAGCGCCGGCUAACUACGUG
RNAcentral lists this ribosomal RNA (467 nucleotides) under uncultured bacterium. RNAcentral's name for it is "partial 16S ribosomal RNA". It matches the Rfam family "Bacterial small subunit ribosomal RNA", at positions 28 to 507 of the family's 1533-position model. The record is from RNAcentral.